Molecule: ribosomal RNA, 442 nt
Filed under: uncultured bacterium
Lineage: Bacteria
Description: partial 16S ribosomal RNA
Rfam family: Bacterial small subunit ribosomal RNA
Source: RNAcentral
GUGGGGAAUUUUGCACAAUGGGCGCAAGCCUGAUGCAGCGACGCCGCGUGAGGGAUGGAGGCCUUCGGGUUGUGAACCUCUUUCGCUCAUGGUCAAGCCGCAGUUUUGAUUGUGGUGAGGGUAGUGGGUAAAGAAGCGCCGGCUAACUACGUGCCAGCAGCCGCGGUAAUACGUAGGGCGCGAGCGUUGUCCGGAAUUAUUGGGCGUAAAGGGCUUGUAGGCGGCUCGUCGCGUCUGCCGUGAAAUCCUCUGGCUUAACUGGGGGCGUGCGGUGGGUACGGGCUGGCUUGAGUGCGGUAGGGGAGACUGGAAUUCCUGGUGUAGCGGUGGAAUGCGCAGAUAUCAGGAGGAACACCGGUGGCGAAGGCGGGUCUCUGGGCCGUUACUGACGCUGAGGAGCGAAAGCAUGGGGAGCGAACAGGAUUAGAAACCCCGGUAGUCC